Molecule: ribosomal RNA, 1162 nt
Filed under: Nostocales cyanobacterium RSUAII
Lineage: Bacteria; Bacillati; Cyanobacteriota; Cyanophyceae; Nostocales
Description: bacterial SSU rRNA
Rfam family: Bacterial small subunit ribosomal RNA
Source: RNAcentral
GGGGAAUUUUCCGCAAUGGGCGAAAGCCUGACGGAGCAAUACCGCGUGAGGGAGGAAGGCUCUUGGGUCGUAAACCUCUUUUCUCAGGGAAGAAAAAAAUGACGGUACCUGAGGAAUAAGCAUCGGCUAACUCCGUGCCAGCAGCCGGGGUAAUACGGAGGAUGCAAGCGUUAUCCGGAAUGAUUGGGCGUAAAGCGUCCGCAGGUGGCUGUGUAAGUCUGCUGUUAAAGAAUGAGGCUCAACCUCAUCAAAGCAGUGGAAACUACACGGCUAGAGUGCGUUCGGGGCAGAGGGAAUUCCUGGUGUAGCGGUGAAAUGCGUAGAGAUCAGGAAGAACACCGGUGGCGAAAGCGCUCUGCUAGGCCGCAACUGACACUGAGGGACGAAAGCUAGGGGAGCGAAUGGGAUUAGAUACCACAGUAGUCCUAGCCGUAAACGAUGGAUACUAGGCGUGGCUUGUAUCGACCCGAGCCGUGCCGUAGCUAACGCGUUAAGUAUCCCGCCUGGGGAGUACGCACGCAAGUGUGAAACUCAAAGGAAUUGACGGGGGCCCGCACAAGCGGUGGAGUAUGUGGUUUAAUUCGAUGCAACGCGAAGAACCUUACCAAGACUUGACAUGUCGCGAAUCCUCUUGAAAGGGAGGAGUGCCUUCGGGAGCGCGAACACAGGUGGUGCAUGGCUGUCGUCAGCUCGUGUCGUGAGAUGUUGGGUUAAGUCCCGCAACGAGCGCAACCCUCGUUUUUAGUUGCCAGCAUUAAGUUGGGCACUCUAGAGAGACUGCCGGUGACAAACCGGAGGAAGGUGGGGAUGACGUCAAGUCAGCAUGCCCCUUACGUCUUGGGCUACACACGUACUACAAUGCUACGGACAAAGGGCAGCUACACAGCGAUGUGAUGCAAAUCUCAGAAACCGUAGCUCAGUUCAGAUCGCAGGCUGCAACUCGCCUGCGUGAAGGAGGAAUCGCUAGUAAUUGCAGGCCAGCAUACUGCAGUGAAUUCGUUCCCGGGCCUUGUACACACCGCCCGUCACACCAUGGAAGCUGGCAACGCCCGAAGUCAUUACUCCAACCUUUCGGGGAGGAGGAUGCCUAAGGCAGUGCUGGUGACUGGGGUGAAGUCGUAACAAGGUAGCCGUACCGGAAGGUGUGGCUGGAUCACCUCCU